Molecule: ribosomal RNA, 1000 nt
Filed under: Planorbarius corneus
Lineage: Eukaryota; Metazoa; Mollusca; Gastropoda; Planorbidae
Description: large subunit ribosomal RNA
Rfam family: Archaeal large subunit ribosomal RNA (bases 458-608)
Source: RNAcentral
AAGAAAUAUUUUUAAUAAAAUAAUUAUAAUAAUAAAUAGAAAUUUAAUACAAAAUUUUGUAUUUUUUACCUUUUGUAUAAGUGUUUAAUGAAAAAGUUGUUAUAUUAACAUUUUCCGAAUUUAACAGAUAAAAAAUAUAAAAAAUAAUAAAACGUAGCAUAGUUGUAUUUUUAUUAUAUUUUAGGAAUGAAAAAUUUUCAAUGUUAAAGAUAACUGGAUAUUAUAUAAAAGUAUUUAGUACUAAAGUCAAUUAUAAGGUGUUUAGAUCUUAUAAUAAUAGAAUUUUCAUUAAUUUUUUUUUAUAAAAAAUAAUUUUUUAAUAAAUAAAAGAGAUUAUUAUUAAUUAUGAAAAAGAAUCUUUUUAUUAUAUAAUUUUUUAAUUUAAUUUUUUUAAAAAAUAUUUAUGUUAAAAUUAGUAAUUUUUAAAAAUAUUUUUUAGGAAUUCGGCAAAAAAAAUUUCAACUGUUUAUCAAAAACAUAGUUUUAAGUAGAUAUUUAAAAUGAAUCCUGCCCAGUGUAUAUAUAAAUGGCCGCAGUACCUUGACUGUGCUAAGGUAGCAUAAUCAAUUGUCUUUUAAUUAGAGUCUGGAAUGAAUGGAUAAAUGAAGUUUUACUGUCUUAAUAAUAUUAAUUUGAAUUUAUUUAUAAGGUGAAAAUACCUUAUACUAGAAAAAAGACGAGAAGACCCUUAGAAUUUUUAAAAAUGUUAAUUUGUUUAAAUUAUUUUUUUGUUGGGGCGACAAAUAAGCAUUUAAACCUUAUAUUACUUAUGGUACGAAUUUUUUAGAAAAAAUUAAAUUACCUUAGGGAUAACAGCAUAAUUAUUUAUUUAGUUUGUGACCUCGAUGUUGGACUAGGAACUUUAUGACUAACCGUCAAAAAAGAUUUGUUCUGUUCGAACAAUUUUAUCCUACAUGAUCUGAGUUCAGACCGGCGUAAGCCAGGUCAGUUUCUAUCUUUUUUUUUAUACUUAUAGUACGAAAGGACCUAAGUAUAUUUU